GGCGGAGCCGAUGGAGCCGGCGGCGCAGCACACAACGCCGUGCGGGACCGCGAGCUGGGCCUGCGGGUCAAUGGAGAAGUGUCCUGGGUGAGGAUCAGCAACAACAAAGAAGUCGGAGGGACGGGCAGCUGUCUGUUCAGCCGAUCAGAAGGUGACUUAGGAAGAACGGGAAGAGCCGCUGCCUUGGGGAUGAGAAGGAUAUAAAAUGCCUGUCAUCCAGAAACUGGGUGCGACCUUAGACCAGUUCGAUGCCAUUGAUUUUUCUGACAAUGAAAUGCGGAAACUGGACGGCCUCCCUCGCUGAGGAGACUGAAGACCCUCCUGGUGAACAACCACAGGAUAUGGGUGACCUGGACCCGCUGGCGUCGCUCAAGUCGCUGACCUCCCUGAGGUAGGAGAUGACCCGGUGACAGUGAGUCCCUUACAACUCCCUGCCCGGCCUCGACCUAAACAGCCAGUGAGGACAAAGGAAUGCUGAAUGGAACUUCAAACGGAAAAGCAUAGCGCGGGGCAGCUGCAUUCCCGAUAGUGACCCGGGCACCUACGUCGACUCUCGGGGCUGAUCCGAAGCGGGCAGUGCCACCCCACCUUCAGGACCCCCAUCCCCGGUGUGCAGGUACAGGAUACAGCCGAUUCUCACCGUCGAUGUCUAUCCCUCACCCGGAAAUCAAUAAAAAUUCUUUUAGAGAU
Long non-coding RNA from Eptesicus fuscus (big brown bat), 690 nucleotides. RefSeq lists it as uncharacterized. The record is from RefSeq and is a predicted model, not a curated record. The transcript has 5 exons. Lineage: Eukaryota; Metazoa; Chordata; Mammalia; Chiroptera; Vespertilionidae.